Long non-coding RNA from Carassius gibelio (silver crucian carp), 1265 nucleotides. RefSeq lists it as uncharacterized. The transcript is spliced from 2 exons. The record is from RefSeq and is a predicted model, not a curated record. NCBI's taxonomy places the organism in Eukaryota, Metazoa, Chordata, Actinopteri, Cypriniformes, Cyprinidae.
CCGGAACUUCCGGUAGCGCCGUAAGAGGGAAAAUCAGGGAAUUCGAUGCACCUGUGCCUAGUUAGGGACAGCGGUUGGUGAUUGGAGGAUACGCUGGACAAGGCAGUACUUAAGGCCAAGUUAUUUCACAGUCUGGGAGCUCUUUCUGGCUGGAAUUGUAUGAUUGUGAAGACAUCGCGAACCUUAAAGGUUGAGAAGUGAACGGAUUAUACGGCGAACUGAGACGACGUGAAAAAGGGGAUUGGAAGCGGCAUUGAUGUGAGUAUUAAGAGCAAGCCGAAAGUGCCCUGUAUAUUGACCUGGCGUUGUGUAGAUCUCUCCAGGAGGAGGAGGGCGGCCCUACCCCUAAUAUAGCGUGGUGGGAGAGCCGAAGGAAUACUUAUUGAAGUAGUCACAACGACGACAUCACUAGCUAGGCCGCAUAUUCCAUCGCCAGAUCCGAACCAAGCGAAGUGAAGGAAGACGGGUGUCCUUUUUGUACACUGAGUGUGGUGGGUGAGUCUUCGUGCUGUGAAAACCUAUAAUUUUGAAGUGGUGUUGUAUAUUGCUGUGGGUUGCUGUGUAUUGCCGUGUGUCCUGUCAGAUAAACCCCCGCCUUCACGCACUUCGUCGUGGGAGGACAAGGAGACUGCUGGUCCUAGCCUAGUUCAGUACAGUAUAUGUUGUGAGCGUGCUUCAGAUCUCCGGAGAUAGCACGGUACGCUGUGUCCAGCCCAGAGGUGAGAGCCAUCCAAAGCAGAGUAACUGUGCUUUGUGUCCAAGUUGAUACCUGUGGAGAGGAAAGGAAAGAGAGUGGGUAACACGAGGAGAGACCGAGGAAACCUGUACUUACGCCGCUGCCUGUGGAGAAAGAGAAAGCGAGUGAGCACCCAAGGAACGAACUGUGUGAACCAGUACUUACUGUGAGCUGCAAUCAGCGAAGAGGUGAGAGCAAAACCAAGCCGAAUUAACUGUGCCUUUGUGUCCCAGCCGUUGCCUGUGGAGGAAGAGAAAGAGAGUGAGCACCCCGAGAACGAACUGUGUGAACCAGUACUUACCGUGAGUUGUAUUCAGCGAAGAGGAGGAAGAAGGAGGGCGCUACGGAUACCUAAGACUCUGGCCGGGCCCCGAGUCCCACGCCCCGGAUCCCCGUGGCCCCCUUGCUCCCUGACCUCUUCCCGGCCAUAGCCCAUCUGGAGGGCCGAGUCAGAGUUUAGUUUUAAUUGCCCUUUCCCUAUUCCCCAAGCUAUUUUUAAAUAUUUAAAUAAAGAUUGUUUUAUCACUUA